GAUGAACGCUGGCGGCGUGCCUAAUACAUGCAAGUCGAGCGAACGGACGAGAAGCUUGCUUCUCUGAUGUUAGCGGCGGACGGGUGAGUAACACGUGGAUAACCUACCUAUAAGACUGGGAUAACUUCGGGAAACCGGAGCUAAUACCGGAUAAUAUUUUGAACCGCAUGGUUCAAAAGUGAAAGACGGUCUCGCUGUCACUUAUAGAUGGAUCCGCGCUGCAUUAGCUAGUUGGUAAGGUAACGGCUUACCAAGGCAACGAUGCAUAGCCGACCUGAGAGGGUGAUCGGCCACACUGGAACUGAGACACGGUCCAGACUCCUACAGGAGGCAGCAGUAGGGAAUCUUCCGCAAUGGGCGAAAGCCUGACGGAGCAACGCCGCGUGAGUGAUGAAGGUCUUCGGAUCGUAAAACUCUGUUAUUAGGGAAGAACAUAUGUGUAAGUAACUGUGCACAUCUUGACGGUACCUAAUCAGAAAGCCACGGCUAACUACGUG
This 497-nucleotide ribosomal RNA is filed under the name uncultured bacterium. RNAcentral describes it as "partial 16S ribosomal RNA". It matches the Rfam family "Bacterial small subunit ribosomal RNA", at positions 28 to 507 of the family's 1533-position model. The record is from RNAcentral.